This 253-nucleotide ribosomal RNA is filed under the name uncultured bacterium. RNAcentral's name for it is "partial 16S ribosomal RNA". It matches the Rfam family "Bacterial small subunit ribosomal RNA", at positions 524 to 776 of the family's 1533-position model. The record is from RNAcentral.
UACGUGAGGGGCGAACGUUGUUCGGUGUCACUGGGCUUAAAGGGCGCGUAGGCGGUCUUGUAAGUCUUGUGUGAAAUCCCUCGGCUUAACUGAGGAACUGCACGAGAUACUGCGAGACUUGAGAUCGGGAGAGGGAAGCGGAAUUCCGGGUGUAGCGGUGAAAUGCGUAGAUAUCCGGAGGAACACCGGUGGCGAAGGCGGCUUCCUGGACCGACACUGACGCUGAGGCGCGAAAGCUAGGGGAGCAAACGGG